CUAAGCUUGACAUCCCUUGGACCGCUCCUUAAUCGGAGCUUUCCCUUCGGGGACUGAGGUGACAGGUGGUGCAUGGUUGUCGUCAGCUCGUGUCGUGAGAUGUUGGGUUAAGUCCCGCAACGAGCGCAACCCUUGUCUUUAGUUGCCAUCAUUAAGUUGGGCACUCUAGAGAGACUGCCGAGGAUAACUCGGAGGGAGGUGGGGAUGACGUCAAAUCAUCAUGCCCCUUAUGUUUAGGGCUACACACGUGCUACAAUGGCUGGUACAGAGGGCUGCAAAACCGUGAGGUUAAGCCAAUCCCUUAAAGCCAGUCUCAGUUCGGAUUGUAGGCUGAAACUCGCCUACAUGAAGCUGGAGUUGCUAGUAAUCGCGGAUCAGAAUGCCGCGGUGAAUGCGUUCCC
This 401-nucleotide ribosomal RNA is filed under the name uncultured bacterium. RNAcentral's name for it is "bacterial SSU rRNA". It matches the Rfam family "Bacterial small subunit ribosomal RNA", at positions 975 to 1375 of the family's 1533-position model. The record is from RNAcentral.